AACACCAUGGCCUAAUGGAUAAGGCAGCGGAAGAAGGUUAGUUCGAAUUCUCUUCCUUCGCUGAUGUAGGUUCGAGUCCUACUGGUGUCC
Non-coding RNA from Coprinopsis sp. MPI-PUGE-AT-0042, 90 nucleotides. Lineage: Eukaryota; Fungi; Basidiomycota; Agaricomycetes; Agaricales; Psathyrellaceae. The record is from the annotation of a GenBank genome assembly.